This 616-nucleotide long non-coding RNA is filed under the name Dromaius novaehollandiae (emu). RNAcentral describes it as "lncRNA (ENSDNVG00000011535.1)". Lineage: Eukaryota; Metazoa; Chordata; Aves; Casuariiformes; Dromaiidae. The record is from RNAcentral.
CCGGCAGCCGCGGUGCAGCGGCCUCUCCCMCGAUACCUUCCCGGUCGCAUUUUCUUUGCCAGUGCCGUAAGAUCUGUGGCCGGACAUCACCAGUUUCCUAUUUUUACUCCCCACGCAUAAGCAAAGCUACAGCAAGCACUUCCUUACUUCAGGGGAAGGUUGCGAGGAGGCAGCUUCCAUUGCACCAUUUUCUUAGCARAAGAAGUUACGAUCUUCAGGCAAAAGCUUCUUUCAGGAGAGUAAUGGAUCCAAUGCUCACAGCUGCAGCAGUGGAGGCAGGACCUGUGUAUUUCUUUGACCAGAUGAAAACUAGAGUGAAAGAGAGAGACAAGAAGAUACCAGAAGAACUGUCCUCCUAUUUCAGUUUCCUCCCUACAGAUCUUCACCCCAUAAGUUUUACUCCCAGAUUUUUUUCUCCUCAGCCUGAUUAAAGGCAAGAAUCCCAGCUGUACAGGGGAGCAUACAGAAAGGCAUGAAGAUGGUUUCUUAAAUGAUGAUCCAUCAAGAAAAGAAGAAUAUCCAGUUUUGCAUCAGAUAUCUUGUCAUUCCCUGUGUAAAACCACCACUGAAGACGCAAACCCAAAGGUCUCCCAAAUACCUUCAAUCCAACAGGCAG